CGCGUAGGCGGCAAUACAAGUCGCAUGUGAAAUACCAGGGCUCAACCCUGGGGUGUCAUGCGAAACUGUAUAGCUUGAGUGCAGUAGAGGUAAGCGGAAUUCCUGGUGUAGCGGUAAAAUGCGUAGAGAUCAGGAGGAACACCGGUGGCGAAGGCGGCUUACUGGGCUGCAACUGACGCUGAGGCGCGAAAGCGUGGGGAGCAAACAGGAUUAGAUACCCUGGUAGUCCACGCGGUAAACGAUGAUUACUAGGUGUAGGGGACGCAGGUCUUCUGUGCCGGAGCUAACGCAAUAAGUAAUCCGCCUGGGGAGUACGGCCGCAAGGUUGAA
RNAcentral lists this ribosomal RNA (330 nucleotides) under uncultured rumen bacterium. Its description in RNAcentral is "bacterial SSU rRNA". It matches the Rfam family "Bacterial small subunit ribosomal RNA", at positions 568 to 898 of the family's 1533-position model. The record is from RNAcentral.